This 76-nucleotide transfer RNA is filed under the name Pyrinomonadaceae bacterium. RNAcentral's name for it is "tRNA-Trp". It matches the Rfam family "tRNA". From Rfam's summary of the family: Transfer RNA (tRNA) molecules are approximately 80 nucleotides in length. Lineage: Bacteria; Pseudomonadati; Acidobacteriota; Blastocatellia; Blastocatellales; Pyrinomonadaceae. The record is from RNAcentral.
AGGGGUAUGGUGUCAAUGGUUAGCAUGGUGGUCUCCAAAACCAUAGGUCCGGGUUCAAGUCCUGGUACCCCUGCCA